This 401-nucleotide long non-coding RNA is filed under the name Homo sapiens (human). RNAcentral's name for it is "non-protein coding lnc-KRT8-1:3". Lineage: Eukaryota; Metazoa; Chordata; Mammalia; Primates; Hominidae. The record is from RNAcentral.
UCCUCUUUACAGGCCUUUCCUUACCUCCCUCCAUGCUGUCCACUUCCUCUGUAAAGCUCUCAACCCUGUCCCCUUCCCCCUCUCUCCUGGGAAAGAGCCCUCCCAUGCCUAGCUGCUGCUCUUAGGGACCCUGUGGCUAGGUGCGCGGAUGGAAAUCCAGUGCUCCCGGAUUUUGCUCUCCAGCCUCCGGUUCUCGGUCUCCAGGCUCCUCACUCUGUCCAGGUGGAGGAGGUGCUGGCGAGUUUGAAAUUUGGGAGUCUUGACCGGGCGCAGUGGCUCACGCCUGUAAUCUCAGCACUUUGGGAGGCCUAGGUGGGCGGAUCACGAGGUCAGGAGAUCGAGACCAUCCUAGCCAACAUGGUGAAACCCCCUCUCUACUAAAAUACAAAAAAUUAGCCGGA